AUGAUAACUCAGCCUGAUGAAAGCGUAACUAACUUCACUGGAAAUCGCAUCUGGGAAGUUUUGUCACCUGGGCAAAUGAUGGAGGGUGAUGUAAUGGACUUCCUCAUUGAUGAUUGGAAGCAAGAUGCCAAGAGAAAUGCUGAUUUUGCAUCUGGGAAAAGGAUAUUGCUGAGUCCAUAUUUCAUCACGAUCAUGACGCCUCUAUUCAAGCCUAUGGUUUUAUCAAAGGAUAGGAAAGUGAACCACUAUUCCUUAUAUGUCAUGAAUCGGUACCGAAGUAGCGUUGACAUCCUUGACUCUUUACCUUAUCCGAAGAACCACCGUCCUUCAAAGAACACCUAUCACAAAGACUGCGAGAAGAUUAUUUCUAGAUUGGUCAAAGUAAUGAAGGUUGUGUAUGGUGAUGCUCAGUACAAUGCGAGCAAGCAACCCAAUUGGGAGCUGUUUGCAAAGAAACCAACGUUUGUCAAGGUUCCACUUCAAGGGGAAAAUGAAUGUGGCCAUUAUACUCUGAAGUAUGCGGGAUGCUACGAUGGUGAAAAGAUCGUUGAGAACAUUCGAGACUAUGACCCACGCAUUGUUGAUUGGAACGCUGAGGAUCUGUAUAGAGUUGUGUUCAACCGGAAUAACCAUCUUAUGGUGACGGAGCUUCCCAAGGAGCUUCAGGCUUUGGCUCCUAAUGCAUAG
Molecule: ribosomal RNA, 687 nt
Filed under: Triticum aestivum (bread wheat)
Lineage: Eukaryota; Viridiplantae; Streptophyta; Magnoliopsida; Poales; Poaceae
Description: partial small subunit ribosomal RNA
Source: RNAcentral